RNAcentral lists this ribosomal RNA (301 nucleotides) under uncultured bacterium. Its description in RNAcentral is "partial 16S ribosomal RNA". It matches the Rfam family "Bacterial small subunit ribosomal RNA", at positions 509 to 807 of the family's 1533-position model. The record is from RNAcentral.
CAGCAGCCGCGGGAAUACGAAGGGGGCUAGCGUUGCUCGGAAUGACUGGGCGUAAAGGGCGCGUAGGCGGUUGGUACAGUCAGAUGUGAAAUUCCUGGGCUUAACCUGGGGGCUGCAUUUGAUACGUGCUGGCUUGAGUGGGGAAGAGGGUUGUGGAAUUCCCAGUGUAGAGGUGAAAUUCGUAGAUAUUGGGAAGAACACCGGUGGCGAAGGCGGCAACCUGGUCCUUGACUGACGCUGAGGCGCGAAAGCGUGGGGAGCAAACAGGAUUAGAUACCCCUGUAGUCCCUGUCUCUUAUAC